RNAcentral lists this ribosomal RNA (488 nucleotides) under uncultured Saprospiraceae bacterium. RNAcentral's name for it is "bacterial SSU rRNA". It matches the Rfam family "Bacterial small subunit ribosomal RNA", at positions 28 to 505 of the family's 1533-position model. Lineage: Bacteria; Pseudomonadati; Bacteroidota; Saprospiria; Saprospirales; Saprospiraceae. The record is from RNAcentral.
GAUGAACGCUAGCGGGAGGCUUAAUACAUGCAAGUCGAACGGUAACAGGGAAUCUUUUCGGAGAAUCUGCUGACGAGUGGCGCACGGGUGAGUAACGCGUACACAAUCUACCUUUCACAGGGGGAUAGCCUCGGGAAACUGAGAAUAAUACCCCAUAGUAUAUGUUUAUCGCAUGAUGAAUAUAUUAAAAUUCCGAUGGUGGAAGAUGAGUGUGCGUUAGAUUAGCUAGUUGGUAGGGUAACGGCCUACCAAGGCGAUGAUCUAUAGGGGGCGUGAGAGCGUGAUCCCCCACACGGGUACUGAGACACGGACCCGACUCCUACGGGAGGCAGCAGUAAGGAAUAUUGGACAAUGGGCGAAAGCCUGAUCCAGCCAUCCCGCGUGCAGGAUGACGGCCCUCUGGGUUGUAAACUGCUUUUGUAUGGGACGAACCGCCUUCAUUUAUGGGGGUUUGACGGUACCAUAAGAAUAAGCAUCGGCUAACUCCG